This is a non-coding RNA of Phrynosoma platyrhinos (Desert horned lizard), 72 nucleotides long. Lineage: Eukaryota; Metazoa; Chordata; Lepidosauria; Squamata; Phrynosomatidae. The record is from the annotation of a GenBank genome assembly.
GCCAGUGUGGCACAGUGGUUUGAGCAUUGGCCUAUGAUUCUGGAGUCCAGGGUUCAAUUCCCAGCUCAGCCA